UUUCUAUAUAUCAUCAGAAAAUUAACAUGGGAGACAGGAGGCACUUCUCAUACGGAGCUCCAGGUUAUGGAUAUCCUCCUCCGGCACAGUACUAUCCUCCUCCACCAGGAGCAGCUUAUCCGCCGCAAGGUUACCCUCCGCAGGGAUAUGGAUAUUCUCCAGUUGCCGGGUACCCGCCAUCUGGUUACAGUACCGGCCUGUAUGCUCCACCUCAUCAUUCAGGUUUGAAUCUGCAGAUAUAUUUUGAUUUGAAUGUUAAUUCGCGUUAUUGUUUAUUAAUUUCUGAAGCUGUUGACUUAUUUAUACAUUUAUGGUACGUUUUUAUAUUAGGAUAUGGUGGCGUAGGGGGACUGUUAGCCGGGGCUGCUUCUGCUUAUGGUACUCACCACAUGUCACACCAUGGGUACGGCGGGCACCAUCACGGCAAGUUCAAGCAUGGAAAGAACUACGGUGGCUUCAGGCAUGGAAAGCAUGGAGGAAAGAAGUGGAAGUAAACUUCUAAAUUUGUACCAAUUCAACCUAUCGCUACAAACGCUUCCCUAUUAAUUCCUCUUGGAUUGAAUAAUCCAUAUACAUUUAUAUGUGUAUGAUGGCUGUGUCUAUUAAGUGCCUUCUGGCAUAUGUUGUAUUUUUCUAAAUAAGAUCAUCCGGG
This 652-nucleotide long non-coding RNA is filed under the name Citrus x clementina. Its description in RNAcentral is "Citrus clementina (C. clementina) long non-coding RNA (CCLE_LNC005329)". The record is from RNAcentral. Lineage: Eukaryota; Viridiplantae; Streptophyta; Magnoliopsida; Sapindales; Rutaceae.